Molecule: long non-coding RNA, 474 nt
Filed under: Athene cunicularia (burrowing owl)
Lineage: Eukaryota; Metazoa; Chordata; Aves; Strigiformes; Strigidae
Description: lncRNA (ENSACUG00000006458.1)
Source: RNAcentral
CACGGACCUCAAAACCACGUCUGGGGCCAUCCCGACUGUGGGGCUCUGCCUGCAGCUCCUUCGAUUGGAGAGACCGGAGGCCUUCCUGACCCCAUCGGGCUGCGAUGCCCUCCCCAGCCUGCACCCUGCUGCCACCGACAUGCUCGAGAGGGGUGAAGAGCUAGAGGCAGCUCCCUUGCACCCAUUUUAUUGCCAGCUCCACCACGACGAUGUGUCUCUCCCAGCAGCUGAUGCCGUGGCCAGCAUCCUGCCCAGAAAGCAGCCGUUCCCACGUGGGACAGGAGCACCAUCGGAGGAGAGGAGGUCCCAGGAGAUCAUCAGGGACAACCAGGAGCUGGAGGUGAGCAGCUACCGCCAGGCAAUGAAGCGGAUGGCGGGGGACCUCCUGUCCCUGCGCCGGCAUGUCACCAGCCUGGAGGUGGAGAACAGGCACCUGCGGUGCAGCCUGGCCUCGCAGGAGGAGCUGGGCCACGC